This is a non-coding RNA of Arachis ipaensis, 342 nucleotides long. NCBI's taxonomy places the organism in Eukaryota, Viridiplantae, Streptophyta, Magnoliopsida, Fabales, Fabaceae. The record is from RefSeq and is a predicted model, not a curated record.
CAUACUAUUAAUUAAAGUAACACUAGUACAUUUUUCAAAUAUUUGUUUCAAACCAUCAGAGGCAUCAGCGCCACUUUUCUCUUUCUUUUAGUGGUUCCCAAACUUUUGGUCUUCUCCUCUUCUCAUUCUAAUUUUCUUUCCAUACCAAAACAAGACAUAUGAAGAAAAACCAUUGAAGAGAAGUGAACAGCAAAAUAUUAACCAUUGAAUGCACAACAAAGAUUCAAAGAGCAACAACUGAACGGGCCUUUUCAGCUAUGAAGAUUAUUAAAACAAGGCUUCGAAACAAGAUGGAAGAUGAAUUUUUAGCAGAUUGUAUGAUUGUAUAUAUUGAAAAAGAAA